AGCGAAACUGCGAAUGGCUCAUUAUAUAAGUUAUCGUUUAUUUGAUAGUACCUUACUACUUGGAUAACCGUGGUAAUUCUAGAGCUAAUACAUGCUAAAAAUCCCGACUUCGGAAGGGAUGUAUUUAUUAGAUUAAAAACCAAUGCCCUCUGGGCUCUUUGGUGAUUCAUGAUAACUUCUCGAAUCGCACGGCCUUGCGCCGGCGAUGGUUCAUUCAAAUUUCUUCCCUAUCAACUUUCGAUGUUUGGGUAUUGGCCAAACAUGGUUGCAACGGGUAACGGAGGGUUAGGGCUCGACCCCGGAGAAGGAGCCUGAGAAACGGCUACUACAUCCAAGGAAGGCAGCAGGCGCGCAAAUUACCCAAUCCCGACACGGGGAGGUAGUGACAAUAAAUACUGAUACAGGGCUCUUUUGGGUCUUGUAAUUGGAAUGAGUACAAUUUAAAUCCCUUAACGAGGAACAAUUGGAGGGCAAGUCUGGUGCCAGCAGCCGCGGUAAUUCCAGCUCCAAUAGCGUAUAUUAAAGUUGUUGUGGUUAAAAAGCUCGUAGUUGAACCUUGGGCCUGGCUGGCCGGUCCGCCUCACCGCGUGUACUGGUCCGGCCGGGCCUUUCCCUCUGUGGAACCUCAUGCCCUUCACUGGGUGUGACGGGGAAACAGGACUUUUACUUUGAAAAAAUUAGAGUGCUCCAGGCAGGCCUAUGCUCGAAUACAUUAGCAUGGAAUAAUAAAAUAGGACGUGUGGUUCUAUUUUGUUGGUUUCUAGGACCGCCGUAAUGAUUAAUAGGGACAGUCGGGGGCAUCAGUAUUCAAUUGUCAGAGGUGAAAUUCUUGGAUUUAUUGAAGACUAACUACUGCGAAAGCAUUUGCCAAGGAUGUUUUCAUUAAUCAGGAACGAAAGUUAGGGGAUCGAAGACGAUCAGAUACCGUCGUAGUCUUAACCAUAAACUAUGCCGACUAGGGAUCGGACGAUGUUAUUUUUUGACGCGUUCGGCACCUUACGAGAAAUC
Molecule: ribosomal RNA, 1008 nt
Filed under: Halophytophthora vesicula
Lineage: Eukaryota; Oomycota; Peronosporomycetes; Peronosporales; Peronosporaceae
Description: SSU rRNA
Rfam family: Eukaryotic small subunit ribosomal RNA
Source: RNAcentral